GCAAAAUACUUUCCGUAGGGGAACCUGCGGAGGGAUCAUUACCGAGUUUACAACUCCCAAACCCAAUGUGAACGUUACCAAACUGUUGCCUCGGCGGGAUCUCUGCCCCGGGUGCGUCGCAGCCCCGGACCAAGGCGCCCGCCGGAGGACCAACCAAAACUCUUUUUGUAUACCCCCUCGCGGGUUUUUUAUAAUCUGAGCCUUCUCGGCGCCUCUCGUAGGCGUUUCGAAAAUGAAUCAAAACUUUCAACAACGGAUCUCUUGGUUCUGGCAUCGAUGAAGAACGCAGCGAAAUGCGAUAAGUAAUGUGAAUUGCAGAAUUCAGUGAAUCAUCGAAUCUUUGAACGCACAUUGCGCCCGCCAGUAUUCUGGCGGGCAUGCCUGUCCGAGCGUCAUUUCAACCCUCGAACCCCUCCGGGGGGUCGGCGUUGGGGAUCGGCCCUCCCUUAGCGGGUGGCCGUCUCCGAAAUACAGUGGCGGUCUCGCCGCAGCCUCUCCUGCGCAGUAGUUUGCACACUCGCAUCGGGAGCGCGGCGCGUCCACAGCCGUUAAACACCCAACUUCUGAAAUGUUGACCUCGGAUCAGGUAGGAAUACCCGCUGAACUUAAGCAUAUCUAGGUG
RNAcentral lists this small RNA (622 nucleotides) under Trichoderma harzianum. RNAcentral's name for it is "eukaryotic LSU rRNA". The stretch from base 242 to 395 matches the Rfam family "5.8S ribosomal RNA". Lineage: Eukaryota; Fungi; Ascomycota; Sordariomycetes; Hypocreales; Hypocreaceae. The record is from RNAcentral.